CCCCUUUGCAAUCCCUUCACUGAAAUGCAUCCCCACACAUGCUUUUCCCAGUGAACACCAAGCCUGUAAGUUGCUUUUCCAAGCCAAGAAACGUUUACAAGAGGUCACGCCACAGAGAACAGGCUCUGCACAUUUCCUAAGAGGGUCACACUACAUAGAAUAUCCACCAGAGACAAAGCGUUCCCAUCCGGUUUCCCACUUCUUUUGGCAUCAACGCUGCUUUUCUGGGUAGGUGAAGUGGCAAACACAUGCAUUAGGAAAAGGAAACAUAACUAUGUUUUCCUCUAUUGCUUAUCCCAGCCCGAAUUCCUCAGUGGACUUCUAGGGUCUAACAGAAUGAUUCUUGCUACUAAAGCCAAUUACUAUGUUGAGCAUUUGGGACUCUCCCCUUCACACACACAGAGGCACCCAACUUUGGAUGGCUUUUUUUCUUCCCUAGAACAACAUUGAGAUAAUUUUCCUCUUAGUUAGACAUUAGGAAAAACUCUAGUGGUACCAACAGUUAAUCAGGGCAAUAGGCUGCACUGCCUCCCUAGGCAAUCCUGCUGUCAAAGGCUUUUAAGGCCAUGCUAGCUUGGCAUCGGGUCAGGAAAGGUUUAGACAGAGCUUUAUCCUGCCUUGGGGCAAGGGGACAGACCCAAAGGGCUGAGAGGGGCCUGCAGCACUCAUCUCUGGCAGCUUCACAAAACACCUCCUAAGCCUGCAGAGUGCAGUUUAUUGCCCUCCCUUGGGCACAGGGCCCGAGGCAGCUGCAGGGGCAGUGUGCCGAGUGUCUGGAAAGCAAAGGGGAAUUUUGCCUCUCUGAGCUGUGACCCUGGUGACAGAGCAAGGGAUCUGCUUCAGCGUGGCAGCUGUAGCUGCUGCAUGCAGCUGGAAAAGGGCAGCAAUGCCACUUGUGUGGGAGCAGGGAGGCAAAGCGAAAGGGAGGAUUCUGAGGCAUUCGCAAGGCAGUUUGCACUAGCAGAAUGAAAGAGUCCCCUGUGGUGUAGGAUGGUGAGGAAAGGACGGGAGAAAGUAAACAACAGGAUGGGAAGAGGAACCCCCACCCGAGGCUGCUGAAAGCAGUUACACCCCAGUCACCCCAACAAGCUUCUCUGGAUGCAGUUAUGCAGCUGCAAGCAUGGAAAAGAGCAGGCAGCUCUGAGGAGUGCCAGGAUCCGGCCUAUGAGAAACACUGGAAACAAACACAGAUCAAAGGGAAACACCAAGCUGUAUACACAGCUGGGGCUGUCUUCCCCUGUUAAAAGAGAUGGGCACGUAGGUUUUAAAUGCAAGCUCUUUGUGUGUGCUUGCACAUAACUGUGUGCAUCUGUGCAAAUGUGACUACUCGCCUCUUGACAUUACCAAAGCGUGGCUAAUGAGUGGUAUUUUCUGAGCUGUGUGGAAGAUUCCCAUGCAGCUGGGCAAAGUCUGACCGGGCAACUCAGCUCACCCAAGGGAACAAGGGCAAAUAGGUGGGAAUGAAAGACAUGGGAGAUAUAAAUCAACCUCUUUUUAGCCUCCGAUUUCUACAUUAAACCUGCUCCCCUGCUCCCCCUUUCAGAAUAACUCAUUCAAAGAAUUUCACUGAGUUUUCAGAAGGAGCAGGGCACUUCCCGUCUAAGUGCUGGACUUGAGACAUGGGGAAUUGCAGGGAAUUACCCCAAGUUCAACAGGUUGUGUAUUUCAGUAGCUUUGGAAAGUCCCUCCUGGGAAGAAAAUGUGGAGAACUUCCUGGAAGAGCCAGAGCAAUUCCUCCUGCAUGAUCAAGCCCUGAAUGGGAAGAGCAGAGGCACACACUGUGGUGGCAGAUAGAAAUGCUGGCAGCUGCCUGUUUUUGGGUCCUGAGACACUCUUGGCUGACCAAGCUCUUCUUCAAGGCUAGGAACAGCCACAGUGAGCUCCUCAGGGCUGAUCUCACCACUGAACCUCCCUGUUCAGUUCCUUUUCUUUCCUGGGCUGUUCACAAGGAGAUCUACCCAUAUACAAAUGAGCAGCAGAAUUGAGUCCAGCGUCAACUUCCUUUUCCUUUCCACAUAUCCCCUCUGAAAGACAUGUGGCUGUGCCAGCCUUCACCUUAUCCAUGCCCUUCCUCUACAAAUACACACAUUUAUUCACAUGAAGAACAGUGUCUACUGAAUUCCCUCCCUUCGUUGUUGCAUUAUUCACUGUCCUGGACAGUAAGGUUUGGUACAGGGACCCUUGGCUCUACUCUCCACAUGACUAGGCAUAUCUACAGCACUGUAGAGACAACUAGGGAGGAGCAACAACUGCCCAAGCGAAGGAGCAAGUAUUCAUCUGAGAACCAUUAAGAGCUGUGCUUCUAAAUGAUUCAGAUGCUUUUAAAUAUUCCACCUUAGCUCAGCAACCAGGCAACUGGGAGAUGGCAGCCUGCAUUUGACUUUAUAAGCAUGACUAAGUUCUGUGCAGCUGUUUACUACCUACCCUGAUAAACACCACACCCGUAUCAGACAAACUGUUAUCAGCCUGGACCAUGCAUGAACCCGCUGAUACCGUUCACAGACUCUGUUUCCAUGCACGGAACGCUGCACGUGAAGCUCAGUCCUGUUUCCACUGGAGGUUUCGGUGUCUAAGCCUUUUUGUAUCAGUUUCUGUUAUGCCUCCUUCUUUUCCUCAGCCUUUCCUGGGCAGAAACCCUUGUAUAAGAUGUAACACUGUGUAACUGCUAUAUCCCCUUUCCUGCCUCACCUUCUGAGAGCUGAACAUACUAUUUGUGGAAUUUCCCAUUCACGGCAAUCCCUUCAUCUUGAGUCCUGAGGUACUCAAACUCCUGAGCAAAACAAUAGAAGCAAAAAGCAGCCUUCCUUUGCAAGAGCUUUUCAUUUUUCCCUAAGUAAGUCAUGUUGCUUUAUGAAUGCACUCUCAAAGGUAAGUAAUUAACAGGCAAGAGGGACAGAAAAUCUCAUUACACAGAUAAUGGGAAGUGAUGCUCAGGCAGCAAUGUACACAUAAAGGAUACCUUCAAAAGACAGGCCUUAAUUUUUUUUUCAUGGAACAUCAGGCAGAAGAGCUGACUCAUCCACUGCUCUGGAAUCCAGGGAGUCCUCUGUAUUCUUCCAGACUGGGCCAAAUCCAAAACCUUUAUAUGAGACUCAGCCUGCACUGACAGACUCAAGUGUCACCUCUGAAAAGGGGAUACUCCAGUAUUCAAAGGCACUGGGAGGAUUUACCAGAGAGCAAACACAAAGAGCACUAGGCAGAGGUGAUCUGCAUCUCUACACACAUUCAAACUCCCAAGGUACAUGGAAAGGGAGGCAGCUAAAAUGACACCAUCAACUGCUAUGUUCUGCCAUGGCCCUGACUUAGCCCUGUCCAUGUUACCCAGUGGUUUCAUGGGAGAAGAAUUCCUGACCCUUGGUUGCAUAUUGCCCAUUUAAUUGUUUUAUGGUUGUCACAUGCACUUUUGGGAGGGAACCUGCCUGGUCUGUUUGCCCACAGCUAUGCAAACUGCUUGGGGUGACCAGCACCAUUUGCAGCCAGGCAACAGCCACAGCAACUGCGAGAUGAAGCCCUUUGAUUUCCUUUCCCAGACAAGGCUAUGAACAUCUGAUGAGAAAAGGUGUGAGGGCAACAUGACAGCAUCAUGCAGCACCUCCUGGCCCUGGGCAACACUGACAGGGAGGACGCUGAGGGGGACAAAAGGAGUGAGCACAAAGAUUUGAACGAAGCAAAGGUGGGACAGGAGAAACUUUUGUGAAGGAGAGAAUAAGCAAGCAACUGGCUGGAGAUACGGAUCAAUGAAACAAAGGAGUGGGUCGAUGCAAGCUUGUUCCCACAUGCCUCUUACUCCAAGCACUGGAUCCAUGUGUUUCUGCUCCUCGCCUGUUAAAUGGGGGUGUCUCACUGCUCCCAUCCCUGCUUGGCAUACCAUAAAGUUAUAGGUUCUUGGAGCUGUGAUACUUUGGUAAAAAUGCGCUACAUCCAGAAAGAAUGAGAAAGUUUUGUGCCUACAUUUCCUACCCCACGCUGAGUUCCCUUUGGUUAUCACAAGCCUGCAUGGGCUAUGUUGCUAUGGCACCCUCAACACAUAUCAGAUAAAGAUACAGAUCAGCACACACAACUUCUGCCCUAAGAGUACAAAGUCCUGAAACUUGCAGUUAACAGCUAAUCUGUCUCAAAAAUCAUAUUCCUAUUAUCUCAGCUUCUCCAAGGCAGAAACUCCCCAAGUGGCUUUUAGCUAGCAAUGCUUUGAAGCCCGUGAGCAAUGUUAAGACACUUGAACAAGAAAAGUUUUUGCAUUAGAAUUUCAGGCUCUCAGCACUUCAAACAGCACCCCAGGAAAAGACAAAGAAAAAAAAGCCUGCACAGUCUCCAGAGAUGCAUUUGGGAGGGAUAUAGAGCCCUGACGUGUGUGAAAACUGAGCCAGGAAAGCUGAAUGCUCGACUUCCUACCUGGGGCCAGAUUCUUCCCCAGCCCAAUCUCACUGAUUGCAGAGGGGAUUUGCCCAGUCUUUAUUGUUCUUUUCAGGACAGUCAUAAACAUACAGAGGGUUCAGCCUGAAAGAAAACUGCAGCAACACACCCAAGUAGAAAUUUGAGGAUGCAAGUUUGGGAAGAGAUUCAAGAACCAAAGCUGGCAAUGCCGCACUCCAGAUACCAUCUAAGUACACAGGACUGCUUUCAUUCCACAUCCACAGCAGCUACCAGACCCCCUCCCGGCUCCCUGAAAGCUGUAAAUAACCAGUAACGCACCAUUUGAUACCUCUUCUAUUCAUCACUCUG
Long non-coding RNA from Strigops habroptila (Kakapo), 4722 nucleotides. RefSeq lists it as uncharacterized. The transcript has 2 exons. The record is from RefSeq and is a predicted model, not a curated record. Lineage: Eukaryota; Metazoa; Chordata; Aves; Psittaciformes; Psittacidae.